AAGGGCAUAAAGUCAACUCUUUUGUUGGACUGAUGGGGAAAAGGAGCCAAGAGGAGCCAGAGUCCUAUGACUGGAGCACAAUACAGACAUACGACAAGCGCCGCUAAAAGUCACCUCUUCACCUGUCUGCACCUCAUCUAACCAUUCCUCAUCCACGGGAGGGGCACCUGAUGCUGGUUUUGUUUUCUCCAAACUAUGUAUAGCUGUUAGUCAAAUAAAAUGAUUUUGUUUUCACAUUGUAGUGAUGUAGCGGUGCUGUGCCUGUGCCAGUUUCAUUUGUCCCA
Non-coding RNA from Plectropomus leopardus (leopard coralgrouper), 284 nucleotides. The record is from RefSeq and is a predicted model, not a curated record. NCBI's taxonomy places the organism in Eukaryota, Metazoa, Chordata, Actinopteri, Perciformes, Serranidae.